CAGUCGCCGCGGUAAUACGUAGGUGGCAAGCGUUAUCCGGAAUUAUUGGGCGUAAAGCGCGCGUAGGUGGUUUUUUAAGUCUGAUGUGAAAGCCCACGGCUCAACCGUGGAGGGUCAUUGGAAACUGGAAAACUUGAGUGCAGAAGAGAAAAGUGGAAUUCCAUGUGUAGCGGUGAAAUGCGCAGAGAUAUGGAGGAACACCAGUGGCGAAGGCGACUUUCUGGUCUGUAACUGACGCUGAUGUGCGAAAGCGUGGGGAUCAAACAGGAUUAGAUACCCGCGUAGUCCCUGUCUCUUAUAA
RNAcentral lists this ribosomal RNA (301 nucleotides) under uncultured bacterium. RNAcentral describes it as "partial 16S ribosomal RNA". It matches the Rfam family "Bacterial small subunit ribosomal RNA", at positions 509 to 809 of the family's 1533-position model. The record is from RNAcentral.